GACGAACGCUGGCGGCGUGCCUAAUACAUGCAAGUCGAGCGCAGGAAGCUGACGGAACUCUUCGGAGAGAAGGCAGUGGAAUGAGCGGCGGACGGGUGAGUAACACGUAAGGAACCUGCCUCAAGAAUUGGGAUAACUCCGAGAAAUCGGAGCUAAUACCGGAUAGUUCAACGGACCGCAUGGUCCGCUGAUGAAAGGCGCUUCGGCGUCACCUUGAGAUGGCCUUGCGGUGCAUUAGCUAGUUGGUGGGGUAACGGCCACCAAGGCGACGAUGGAUAGCCGACCUGAGAGGGUGAUCGGCCACACUGGGACUGAGACACGGCCCAGACUCCUACGGGAGGCAGCAGUAGGGAAUCUUCCACAAUGGACGAAAGUCUGAUGGAGCAACGCCGCGUGAGUGAUGAAGGUUUUCGGAUCGUAAAACUCUGUUGUAAGGGAAGAACACGUACGAGAGGGAAUGCUCGUACCUUGACGGUACCUUACGAGAAAGCCACGGCUAACUACGUGCCAGCAGCCGCGGUAA
Molecule: ribosomal RNA, 523 nt
Filed under: uncultured bacterium
Lineage: Bacteria
Description: partial 16S ribosomal RNA
Rfam family: Bacterial small subunit ribosomal RNA
Source: RNAcentral